RNAcentral lists this ribosomal RNA (203 nucleotides) under uncultured bacterium. RNAcentral describes it as "partial 16S ribosomal RNA". It matches the Rfam family "Bacterial small subunit ribosomal RNA", at positions 1298 to 1500 of the family's 1533-position model. The record is from RNAcentral.
UUGCAGGCUGCAACCCGCCUGCAUGAAGUCGGAAUUGCUAGUAAUCGUAGGUCAGCAUACUACGGUGAAUACGUUCCCGGGCCUCGUACACACCGCCCGUCAAACCAUGAGAGUUGGCAACACCCGAAGUCGGUAGUCUAACCGCAAGGAGGACGCCGCCGAAGGUGGGGUUGAUGAUUAGGGUUAAGUCGUAACAAGGUACC